Molecule: ribosomal RNA, 593 nt
Filed under: Microbacterium sp. 13AAV
Lineage: Bacteria; Bacillati; Actinomycetota; Actinomycetes; Micrococcales; Microbacteriaceae
Description: bacterial SSU rRNA
Rfam family: Bacterial small subunit ribosomal RNA
Source: RNAcentral
GGAGAGCUUGCUCUCUGGAUCAGUGGCGAACGGGUUGAGUAACACGUGAGCAAUCUGCCCCUGACUCUGGGAUAAGCGUUGGAAACGACGUCUAAUACCGGAUACGAGCUGCGAAGGCAUCUUCAGCAGCUGGAAAGAACUUCGGUCAGGGAUGAGCUCGCGGCCUAUCAGCUAGUUGGUGAGGUAAUGGCUCACCAAGGCGUCGACGGGUAGCCGGCCUGAGAGGGUGACCGGCCACACUGGGACUGAGACACGGCCCNGACUCCUACGGGAGGCAGCAGUGGGGAAUAUUGCACAAUGGGCGCAAGCCUGAUGCAGCAACGCCGCGUGAGGGACGACGGCCUUCGGGUUGUAAACCUCUUUUAGCAGGGAAGAAGCGAAAGUGACGGUACCUGCAGAAAAAGCACCGGCUAACUACGUGCCAGCAGCCGCGGUAAUACGUAGGGUGCAAGCGUUAUCCGGAAUUAUUGGGCGUAAAGAGCUCGUAGGCGGUUUGUCGCGUCUGCUGUGAAAACCCGAGGCUCAACCUCGGGCCUGCAGUGGGUACGGGCAGACUAGAGUGCGGUAGGGGAGAUUGGAAUUCCUGGUGUAGC